Molecule: unclassified non-coding RNA, 210 nt
Organism: Ursus americanus (American black bear)
Lineage: Eukaryota; Metazoa; Chordata; Mammalia; Carnivora; Ursidae
Source: Ensembl
GUGAGGGGCUGGGCGAAAGGAGGGAGGGAGGAUGGGGAACGCGCGCCCCAAGAGCGAAGGCAAACAGCUGUGGAGGCGCUGUCCAGGGCUCAGGCUUCCCAACAGGUUAGCUAGACCGGGAACCACCCGGCAUUUCGCAGGAAAGGGGGGGGAGGCUGAGCGAGAGGGGGAGAGAGCCUCAGAAGAGGACAGAGGGAGGGAGGGAAAGAG